ACGCACGCUGGCGGCGUGCUUCACCCAUGCAAGUCGCACGGAAAGGCCCUGCUUGCAGGGUGCUCGAGUGGCGAACGGGUGAGUAACACGUGGGUGAUCUGCCCCUUACUUUGGGAUAAGCCUGGGAAACUGGGUCUAAUACUGGAUAGGACCAUGCUGUAGGUGGUGUGGUGGAAAGAUUAGUUUCGGUAAGGGAUGAGCUCGCGGCCUAUCAGCUUGUUGGUGGGGUAAUGGCCUACCAAGGCGUCGACGGGUAGCCGGCCUGAGAGGGUGGACGGCCACAUUGGGACUGAGAUACGGCCCAGACUCCUACGGGAGGCAGCAGUGGGGAAUAUUGCACAAUGGGCGCAAGCCUGAUGCAGCGACGCCGCGUGGGGGAUGACGGCCUUCGGGUUGUAAACUCCUUUCAGCCAUGACGAAGCCCUUGUGGUGACGGUAGUGGUAGAAGAAGCACCGGCUAACUACGUG
This 468-nucleotide ribosomal RNA is filed under the name uncultured bacterium. Its description in RNAcentral is "partial 16S ribosomal RNA". It matches the Rfam family "Bacterial small subunit ribosomal RNA", at positions 29 to 507 of the family's 1533-position model. The record is from RNAcentral.